UGCAAGUCGAGCGGUAACAGGAGAAGCUUGCUUCUCGCUGACGAGCGGCGGACGGGUGAGUAAUACUUAGGAAUCUGCCCAGUAGUGGGGGAUAGCUCGGGGAAACUCGAAUUAAUACCGCAUACACCCUACGGGGAAAAGGGGGCGCUUGCGCUCUCGCUAUUGGAUGAGCCUAAGUCGGAUUAGCUAGUUGGUGGGGUAAAGGCCUACCAAGGCGACGAUCUGUAGCUGGUCUGAGAGGAUGAUCAGCCACACCGGGACUGAGACACGGCCCGGACUCCUACGGGAGGCAGCAGUGGGGAAUAUUGGACAAUGGGGGCAACCCUGAUCCAGCCAUGCCGCGUGUGUGAAGAAGGCCUUUUGGUUGUAAAGCACUUUAAGCAGUGAAGAAGACCUAACGGUUAAUACCCGUUAGCGAUGACAUUAGCUGCAGAAUAAGCACCGGCUAACUCUGUGCCAGCAGCCGCGGUAAUACAGAGGGUGCAAGCGUUAAUCGGAAUUACUGGGCGUAUAGCGAGCGUAGGUGGCUUGAUAAGUCAGAUGUGAAAUCCCCGGGCUUAACCUGGGAACUGCAUCUGAUACUGUCAGGCUAGAGUAGGUGAGAGGGAGGUAGAAUUUCAGGUGUAGCGGUGAAAUGCGUAGAGAUCUGAAGGAAUACCGAUGGCGAAGGCAGCCUCCUGGCAUCAUACUGACACUGAGGUUCGAAAGCGUGGGUAGCAAACAGGAUUAGAUACCCUGGUAGUCCACGCCGUAAACGAUGUCUACUAGUCGUUGGGGAACUUGAUUCCUUAGUGACGCAGCUAACGCAAUAAGUAGACCGCCUGGGGAGUACGGCCGCAAGGUUAAAACUCAAAUGAAUUGACGGGGGCCCGCACAAGCGGUGGAGCAUGUGGUUUAAUUCGAUGCAACGCGAAGAACCUUACCUGGUCUUGACAUAUCUAGAAUCCUGCAGAGAUGCGGGAGUGCCUUCGGGAAUUAGAAUACAGGUGCUGCAUGGCUGUCGUCAGCUCGUGUCGUGAGAUGUUGGGUUAAGUCCCGCAACGAGCGCAACCCUUUUCCUUAGUUACCAGCGGUUUGGCCGGGGACUCUAAGGAUACUGCCAGUGACAAACUGGAGGAAGGCGGGGACGACGUCAAGUCAUCAUGGCCCUUACGACCAGGGCUACACACGUGCUACAAUGGUAGGUACAGAGGGCAGCUACACAGCGAUGUGAUGCGAAUCUCAAAAAGCCUAUCGUAGUCCAGAUUGGAGUCUGCAACUCGACUCCAUGAAGUAGGAAUCGCUAGUAAUCGCGGAUCAGAAUGCCGCGGUGAAUACGUUCCCGGGCCUUGUACACACCGCCCGUCACACCAUGGGAGUUGAUUGCACCAGAAGUGGGUAGCCUAACUUUUAGAGGGCGCUCACCACGGUGUGGUU
RNAcentral lists this ribosomal RNA (1416 nucleotides) under uncultured bacterium. RNAcentral describes it as "bacterial SSU rRNA". It matches the Rfam family "Bacterial small subunit ribosomal RNA". The record is from RNAcentral.